This 460-nucleotide ribosomal RNA is filed under the name uncultured bacterium. RNAcentral's name for it is "partial 16S ribosomal RNA". It matches the Rfam family "Bacterial small subunit ribosomal RNA", at positions 338 to 795 of the family's 1533-position model. The record is from RNAcentral.
CCUACGGGUGGCUGCAGUGAGGAAUAUUGGUCAAUGGCCGAGAGUCUGAACCAGCCAAGUAGCGUGAAGGAAGACUGCCCUAUGGGUUGUAAACUUCUUUUAUAUGGGAAUAAAAUGUUCCACGUGUGGGUUUUUGUAUGUACCACAUGAAUAAGGAUCGGCUAAUUCCGUGCCAGCAGCCGCGGUAAUACGGAGGAUCCGAGCGUUAUCCGGAUUUAUUGGGUUUAAAGGGAGCGUAGGUGGGUUGUUAAGUCAGUUGUGAAAGUUUGCGGCUCAACCGUGAAAUUGCAGUUGAAACUGGAAGUCUUGAGUGCGGUAAAGGUAGGCGGAAUUCGUGGUGUAGCGGUGAAAUGCUUAGAUAUCACGAAGAACUCCGAUUGCGAAGGCAGUUCACUGGACUGCAACUGACGCUGAGGCUCGAAAGUGUGGGUAUCGAACAGGAUUAGAUACCCGAGUAGUC